AAUAGGUGCGGGUAACCAAGCCUAUUACGGAGCGGCGAACGGGUGAGUAACACGUGAGCAACCUGCCCCGCAGAUCGGGAUAGCCCAGGGAAACUUGGAUUAAUACCGGAUAUUCUCCUUUAACCACAUGAUUGUUGGAGGAAAUGCUUUUGCGCUACGGGAUGGGCUCACGGCCUAUCAGCUUGUUGGUGGGGUAACGGCCUACCAAGGCUACGACGGGUAGCUGGUCUGAGAGGACGAUCAGCCACACUGGGACUGAGACACGGCCCAGACCCCUACGGGAGGCAGCAGCAGGGAAUCUUGCGCAAUGGGCGAAAGCCUGACGCAGCAACGCCGCGUGGGGGAUGAAGGCCUUCGGGUUGUAAACCCCUUUAGGGAGGGACGAAAUUGACGGUACCUCCAGAAUAAGCCCCGGCCAACUACGUGCCAGCAGCCGCGGUGAUACGUAGGGGGCAAGCGUUGUCCGGAAUCAUUGGGCGUAAAGAGCUCGUAGGCGGCUUAGUAAGUCGGUCGUGAAAUACCGAGGCUCAACCUCGGCACUGCGGUCGAUACUGCUAUAGCUAGAGUUUGGUAGAGGAGAACGGAAUUCCCGGUGUAGCGGUGGAAUGCGCAGAUAUCGGGAGGAACACCUGUAGCGAAGGCGGUUCUCUGGGCCAACACUGACGCUGAGGAGCGAAAGCGUGGGGAGCAAACAGGAUUAGAUACCCUGGUAGUCCACGCUGUAAACGUUGGGCACUAGGUGUGGCGACCCGACCAACGGUUGCCGUGCCGAAGCUAACGCAUUAAGUGCCCCGCCUGGG
This 800-nucleotide ribosomal RNA is filed under the name uncultured Actinomycetes bacterium. Its description in RNAcentral is "bacterial SSU rRNA". It matches the Rfam family "Bacterial small subunit ribosomal RNA", at positions 70 to 877 of the family's 1533-position model. Lineage: Bacteria; Bacillati; Actinomycetota; Actinomycetes. The record is from RNAcentral.